UUGUCUUACAUGCACUGAGGAAAGCAUUGUCAAAACAUCAUUCUACAGCAAUUGUUCAGUUGGAGAUAUCCUAACAUAUGUCCAGAUCACACAAUGAAGCUCAACUCGCCAGUUUCCUUUCCAAGGAAAACUCUUCAAGUUAGUUCAAGGCUAUAUAUUCUUUCAAGAGCAAAAAAGAUUAAACCUGACCUCCUGGAUUCUAACAGCCGAUAAUCCAUAUGAAAAGGAGUCUGGAGUUGGAUCAACUAGUGACUGGAAUAUAUCCAAAUUACCUUCUUCAAAGAUGAAUAAAUUCAGC
This 298-nucleotide long non-coding RNA is filed under the name Solanum lycopersicum (tomato). RNAcentral describes it as "partial TCONS_00172831". The record is from RNAcentral. Lineage: Eukaryota; Viridiplantae; Streptophyta; Magnoliopsida; Solanales; Solanaceae.